This 253-nucleotide ribosomal RNA is filed under the name uncultured bacterium. RNAcentral describes it as "partial 16S ribosomal RNA". It matches the Rfam family "Bacterial small subunit ribosomal RNA", at positions 524 to 776 of the family's 1533-position model. The record is from RNAcentral.
UACGGAGGGUGCAAGCGUUAUCCGGAUUCACUGGGUUUAAAGGGUGCGUAGGUGGGCAGGUAAGUCAGUGGUGAAAUCUCCGGGCUUAACCCGGAAACUGCCAUUGAUACUAUCAGUCUUGAAUACCGUGGAGGUAAGCGGAAUAUGUCAUGUAGCGGUGAAAUGCUUAGAUAUGACAUAGAACACCAAUUGCGAAGGCAGCUGGCUACACAAAUAUUGACACUGAGGCACGAAAGCGUGGGGAUCAAACAGG